GGAUUGCCCCAGUAACGGCGAGUGAAGCGGCAACAGCUCAAAUUUGAAAUCUGGUCCCCCCGCGGGGCCCGAGUUGUAAUUUGAAGAGGAUGCUUCUGGCAAGGUGCCGUCCGAGUUCCCUGGAACGGGACGCCGCAGAGGGUGAGAGCCCCGUACGGUCGGACGCCGAGCCUCUGUGAAGCUCCUUCGACGAGUCGAGUAGUUUGGGAAUGCUGCUCAAAAUGGGAGGUAAACCCCUUCUAAAGCUAAAUACCGGCCAGAGACCGAUAGCGCACAAGUAGAGUGAUCGAAAGAUGAAAAGCACUUUGAAAAGAGAGUUAAAAAGCACGUGAAAUUGUUGAAAGGGAAGCGCUUGCGACCAGACUCGCGCCCGUCGGAUCAGCCGUCGCUCGUCGGCGGCGCACUCCGGCGCGGCUCGGGCCAGCAUCAGUUCGCCUCGGGGGGAGAAAGGCGGCGGGAAUGUGGCUCUACGGAGUGUUAUAGCCCGCCGCGCAAUACCCCCGGGCGGACUGAGGACCGCGCGUAUGCAAGGAUGCUGGCGUAAUGGUCGUCAGCGACCCGUCUUGAAACACGGACCAAGGAGUCGUCCUAAUAUGCGAGUGUACGGGUGUCAAACCCCUGCGCGUAAUGAAAGUGAACGGAGGUGAGAGCUUCGGCGCAUCAUCGACCGAUCCUGAUGUUCUCGGAUGGAUUUGAGUAAGAGCAUAUUGGGCCGGACCCGAAAGAAGGUGAACUAUGCCUGUGUAGGGUAAAGCCAGAGGAAACUCUGGUGGAGGCUCGCAGCGGUUCUGACGUGCAAAUCGAUCGUCAAACAUGGGCAUGGGGGCGAAAGACUAAUCGAACCUUCUAGUA
Molecule: ribosomal RNA, 852 nt
Filed under: Microascus levis
Lineage: Eukaryota; Fungi; Ascomycota; Sordariomycetes; Microascales; Microascaceae
Description: partial large subunit ribosomal RNA
Rfam family: Eukaryotic large subunit ribosomal RNA
Source: RNAcentral